GUAGAUGUUAGGAUGGGCAUGUUGGAGUCUCAUCAUAAUUUUGUUGUUCCAUAGAAAGCGAUAUACUUCAACCCAGAAUUCUGUCACAUAAUCAGUAGAUAAUGUUGUAGCAAGUAUUUUGUCAGCGUCACCAAUGUCCUCUAAACUUUUAUGCAAAACGUCCUCAACUAGUUGGGGUGGAACAAGAGGUAAUACUGCGGC
RNAcentral lists this long non-coding RNA (201 nucleotides) under Mytilus galloprovincialis (Mediterranean mussel). Lineage: Eukaryota; Metazoa; Mollusca; Bivalvia; Mytilida; Mytilidae. The record is from RNAcentral.